UCUUAGAAAACAUGGCUUGUUGGAAACUCAGAAGACUUGCCUGCUUAGCGGUGCUAAAAAACCACGCCUGAGCCCACUGUCGGUUUACAUCUGAGACUUACAGGGAAGACCUGGGUCUCACCUGAGGCCCCAUCUGUUCUUGAGGCAACACCUGGGUUCUUUUCAACACUCAAUAGACAGGCAUCCUCCACCUACCUAUGCCCAAAAGGCGAUGACUGAAAGGGUAUGCAGAAAAGAUGGAGACUGUCUGCCUCGAUCCCAGUGACAGAACAUCAGUUCUGGCUAUUACUUUUCCAUUCUUGGUUUCCAGUGAUUACUUAGUCAGAUGGCUCAGACAAUGGCGGGAAUGCUGUGGACAGUGGAACAAUACGAUGUAGCGAGGAGACUUCUCACUCAGCAGAGAGGUGUUAGGGAGGACUGCAGAACAAGCUCCAGUGAUCCUUUGUGAAGGAUCUUGGCAAGAUGGGAUACGUGUUAACCAUGUAAGGAAAAAUUGUGAAAGAUUUUGCAAUGGAAGAGAAAAUUACUGGAUGUCGUAUGGAAUCCUAGGUGUUGUCUAGCAUAUCCAUCUGGAUUAUCUGAUUCUAUAGUGAC
RNAcentral lists this long non-coding RNA (594 nucleotides) under Equus caballus (horse). RNAcentral's name for it is "lncRNA (ENSECAG00000046443.1)". Lineage: Eukaryota; Metazoa; Chordata; Mammalia; Perissodactyla; Equidae. The record is from RNAcentral.